This 400-nucleotide ribosomal RNA is filed under the name uncultured bacterium. Its description in RNAcentral is "bacterial SSU rRNA". It matches the Rfam family "Bacterial small subunit ribosomal RNA", at positions 370 to 772 of the family's 1533-position model. The record is from RNAcentral.
AAUGGGGGCAACCCUGAUCCAGCAACGCCGCGUGAGGGAUGAAGGUCUUCGGAUUGUAAACCCCUUUCGGGAGGGAAGAUGGAGUGGGUAACCACUUGGACGGUACCUCCAGAAGCAGCCACGGCUAACUUCGUGCCAGCAGCCGCGGUAAUACGAAGGUGGCAAGCGUUGUUCGGAUUCACUGGGCGUACAGGGAGCGUAGGCGGUUGGGUAAGCCCUCCGUGAAAUCUCCGGGCCUAACCCGGAAAGUGCAGAGGGGACUGCUCAGCUAGAGGAUGGGAGAGGAGCGCGGAAUUCCCGGUGUAGCGGUGAAAUGCGUAGAGAUCGGGAGGAAGGCCCGUGGCGAAGGCGGCGCUCUGGAACAUUUCUGACGCUGAGACUCGAAAGCGUGGGGAGCAAA